UCCAGGGUAGCCUAGUGGACAUGGCACCUGCCCGGUAAGCAGAAGGUUGUGGAUUCGAUUCCCGCCCCUGGAC
RNAcentral lists this transfer RNA (73 nucleotides) under Cordylochernes scorpioides. RNAcentral describes it as "tRNA-Thr". It matches the Rfam family "tRNA". Rfam says of the family: Transfer RNA (tRNA) molecules are approximately 80 nucleotides in length. Lineage: Eukaryota; Metazoa; Arthropoda; Arachnida; Pseudoscorpiones; Chernetidae. The record is from RNAcentral.